Molecule: ribosomal RNA, 207 nt
Filed under: uncultured bacterium
Lineage: Bacteria
Description: partial 16S ribosomal RNA
Rfam family: Bacterial small subunit ribosomal RNA
Source: RNAcentral
CGCGUAGGCGGCUUUAUAAGUCUGGAGUGAAAGUCCUCUUUUCAAGGGAGGAAUUGCUUUGGAAACUAUAGAGCUUGAGUGCAGGAGAGGUUAUCGGAAUUCCCGGUGUAGCGGUGAAAUGCGUAGAUAUCGGGAGGAACAUCGGUGGCGAAGGCGGGUAACUGGACUGCAACUGGCGCUGAGGCGCGAAAGUGUGGGGAGCAAACA